Molecule: ribosomal RNA, 496 nt
Filed under: uncultured bacterium
Lineage: Bacteria
Description: partial 16S ribosomal RNA
Rfam family: Bacterial small subunit ribosomal RNA
Source: RNAcentral
GAUGAACGCUGGCGGCGUGCCUAAUACAUGCAAGUCGAGCGAACAGACGAGGAGCUUGCUCCUCUGACGUUAGCGGCGGACGGGUGAGUAACACGUGGAUAACCUACCUAUAAGACUGGGAUAACUUCGGGAAACCGGAGCUAAUACCGGAUAAUAUAUUGAACCGCAUGGUGCAAUAGUGAAAGACGGUUUUGCUGUCACUUAUAGAUGGAUCCGCGCCGCAUUAGCUAGUUGGUAAGGUAACGGCUUACCAAGGCAACGAUGCGUAGCCGACCUGAUAGGGUGAUCGGCCAGUCUGGAACUGAGACACGGUCCAGACUCCUACGGGAGGCAGCAGUAGGAAAUCUACCGCAAUGGGCGAAAGCUUGACGGAGCAACUCCGCGUGAGUGAUGAAGGUCUUCGGAUCGUAAAGCUCUGUUAUUAGAGAAGAACAAAUGUGUAAGUAACUAUGCACGUCUUGACGGUACCUAAGCAGAAAGCCACGGCUAACUACGU